GGGAAGUUCUACAGGUGUUGGCCGUGGAGAUCGUUUUGGCGGAUCAGAUCGUUAUGGUGAUCGUUAUGGGGACCGUCUUGGUGGAUCAGAUCGCUAUGGAGAUAGACCAGGUGGAACAAGCCGCUAUGGAGAUCGUUAUGUUGAUGACCGUUAUGAUGGCGGUCGUUAUGGGGAUCGAGAUCGUCUUGAUACUAGGGACAGUAUGUACAGCAGUGGUCGUGAUCGUUACGGCAAUGACAGGUAUCCUGCAGGUGGAGAUCGCUUUGCUGGUGAUAGGUAUGGUGGUGCUUCCGAUCGUUAUGCUCAGAAUGGGUUCUCAAAGG
Molecule: long non-coding RNA, 323 nt
Filed under: Zostera marina
Lineage: Eukaryota; Viridiplantae; Streptophyta; Magnoliopsida; Alismatales; Zosteraceae
Description: long non-coding RNA (ZMAR_LNC004706)
Source: RNAcentral